Ostrea edulis (European flat oyster) is the source of this 2607-nucleotide long non-coding RNA. RefSeq lists it as uncharacterized. The transcript is spliced from 3 exons. The record is from RefSeq and is a predicted model, not a curated record. Lineage: Eukaryota; Metazoa; Mollusca; Bivalvia; Ostreida; Ostreidae.
AAGAAAUUAUAAAAACAGUUUGGGAGAUACUUUCUCUUGUAUUAUAGUGAGCUUGACAAGAGUAGAUAUUUUUAUUUAUUUGGUUUGUUGAAAUGUAUUUCCAAAGAUUUUUUUUUUUCAUAUUUGCAAAAUGCCAACUAUUUUUGUAAUUAUUUGAAAACGUUUUUCAUAAAUUCCGCAAAUGAAACAACGUGUGAAGCCUCGUUUAUUUAUUAAUCUUUACUUCUUGCGCUUACUAAACGAUUCAAUUUUCGUAUCAACAAUGUGCCUUAAUGUUAUUCUACAGAGUAGGAUGUUUACUCCGUGUACUGUUUUGUAUGAAAUUGAAAUCAUUUGGAAAAGAGUGAAACGACAUUUUUCUCGAUAAAAUCCGAUAUCGCACGUAGAUUAGUGCCUCAAAUCACCGUCGAGCGAGUCGUUUACCGCCCGCAAGGAGGGGGUGGUUAGUCUCAAAAUCGGCGAGCGCUCACUGCCCGACAUGGUCUGCAUGUGAGAUCGCCACACUGUCGUGUUUUAGUUUAUAGAGCAUAACAACAAAAUCCAGUCUGUCUGUCGUCGAAAUUUUACAUUCAGCUAGCAUGCUUUAUGGCAAAGGAGGAUUCAGUUUCCACGAAUAAUGCCUUUCGUUCACCUUUUCUAUCAUAGAAUCUAACAGCAAAAACCCACAUGCCCCGGUUGUUUUUUUUUAUUCCUCGCGUAAAUGAAAAGUGUUUUUUUUUGUCUGGCCCCCGAUCUAUCUUUAUUAUAUCUCAUAUGCAUGUUUCAGUAUAUCUUUGCGGGUUUUAUUAAGCGUUUAGUUACACAGUUGUAUGGUUUUAAAUCAUCCUUAAAAUUUAACUGUUUUCACUCAAUCUGCGUCCCGGGGAACAGUUGUUACCAGUCACAGACGCAGGGUCCUAUCCUCACGUGGAAUUCGUUACCAGACCAGACGGGUUUUAUUUGAAUGGGUAUUAAGAACCCGAUUCACAUUUUGUUGAUAUGAUGCACUUCUACUGAAGAAAAGCGAUUCCAGUGCUUCGACUUGUCAAGUUUAGAAUCUCGAAUCCUGCAGCCUGUCCUGAUAACGCUUCGUUUGAUGUUCAUUUCACGCAGUAGAAAUCGACAUUGUUGGAUUAAAAAUCUAAUAACAUAACUAAAUUAAUUUAAACUCUAAUUACCAAACGUUAUCAUUGCGAUUCAAUGUUUAAUAAACAAAACAUUACAAAAUGUUUGAAUUUAGAACUCUUUACUACGGGAGGUAGCAAUGUGAAUUAAAAGAUGAAACGGCUCAAUCUAGUCAUUAUCUUGUUUUAUAUAAAAGUCUAUGCUAAUUUUCCAGAUAAAAUCAAAAUAAAGGAAUCUCAUUUAAGAAAACGCGUUAUAAAUGCGGUGAUAUGCGAUCUAACAAAACCAGUUAAGAUAUUAUUUUGUUCUAUGACGAGGUUUUUGCCAUCCCCCGGAGAAGUGCUCGUCUAUCUCAGCGAUCGUGUGAAGACCCUUUUGUGGUUUAUCAGGAUUCCUGCCCUGUUCCAAGAUAGCAUUAAGUGUAAUUAAGUAUACACAUGCCGUUUAUAAACAGCGUCCAACCGCCUUUCUUAAUAAAAUCAUUUCUUAUUAAACACAAACUGUGAUAAACAAUAUUCUACAGUAUCUAUGUUUACCGUGGGUUUAUUCCGACUGCAAACGAAAUGCAAAGGCUACCAUUUGCGAUUUUGAUUUUAUAGGAUGAACAAGAAACAAUAUUUUCUAGUCAGUCUCAAAGGGGGAUCACACUUUACCUGACACCUAUGUACAUGUUUCAGCAGGUAUUGUUUAUUCAGGUGAUCCCCCUUAAUGGUUUGUUAUACAUUUUACUUAACAAUUUACCUUAUGUCAUUCAAUAAAUGACAUAUUCGACAAAACUGCAUUACAGUGUUUGGUUAUUUGUUACUGCUUGGACGGUUUCUUCUCAUAGGAGGCAUAUAUAUUAUUUUGUAGCGAAUAGUUCCCGGUAUGAUGAAUAUUUAUCAUGCAUAAAAUAAUUAUUAUUGGAAUUUUUAGAUAUGGAUUACCUUAUAAUUAUAUAUUACCUUUCACACAUUGUAGGCGUUUUCAUGGACACAAUAGGUGAUGAUGGCAGUGUGCUUGUGCCUUAUCAAUUUGAUUUUAUUGUCAAACUGCAAAUUUAUUAAAGAGAAUUAUUUUAUAUUACAGAACAUUAGCUAAAAUUACAAUUCAAUCAUUACUAAAACAAAGUAUCGGGCAUAAAAUAGAAAAAUAUUAACCAGAAGCGUGAGAAAUUAACUGUAUCUUUUUAAAAAUUGGGCCUAGAUUGUUUGUUUUAUACAAUAUGUUUUAUAUAAAUUGUGUUUUGUUUUAUACAAUAUGUGUUUGUUUUAUACAAUAUGUGUUUGUUUUAUAUAAUAUGUGUUUGUUUUAUAUAAUAUGUGUUUGUUUUAUACAAUAUGUGUUUGUUUUAUACAAUAUGUGUUUGUUUUAUAUAAUAUGUGUUUGUUUUAUUUAAUAUGUGUUUGUUUUAUACAAUAUGUGUUUGUUUUAUACAGUAUGUGUUCGGAUUGGUCUCCCGGUAUUUUUAAACGAUGCUUGAAUUUCUUCAUUUCAAAUAAAUGACAAUUAUGAAAACACAAA